UCCUGUUCUAAUUUCGCCGUUUACUCAUCCGAAAACUCAUCUACUUGACUAUUAGUUGCCGUUUAACGCUCAUCUAAUGGUUGUUGCUCUUUUGCCUGCUUUAGCUCAGUCUGCUGUCCUUACCAACGGUGCUGGACUUUUCAGUGUCCUCCAAGUUGCCUCUUUGAGUUCUGUUCAUCCUGAAAUAUUUGCACUGCACAGUAAUUUCUUCAGAGAUCUUGAUGUUUGUUAGUAAUGUAAAGAUGUUCCAUGAGAGACCGAAUUCAGGGGCAACAUGGCUGGGUUGAACACUGGAACCGGAAGGAUAACAAAGAAUUGUUAUCCAACUAAAACUCAGUGAAAUGCUAAGAGCUAUAUCCUUGUUUCUAGCGACGCAUGCCUAGUAGAGAUGUCUCUCAAGACUGUUCAUAGUUUGUACAUAGCUGCCUAGCACAGAGGAGACAUCAUUUUCUUUCCCUCGUUAUUACAUUCUUCCUUGAUUCUUUGACCCCAUCCCUGAAUGCGGGUAUAUUUGAUAUCAUAACAAAUAGUGUAAAUAAUACAUGCUUGGAUUCAGUACCUAGAUAACAUUUUUUGUUUCUAAAAUCGGGUAACUGAAGUGAUAUUUGUUCCAUUGCAAGUAGGCUAUGGAUACAGGCACCAAUGACUUGGUUAUAGGCAGUGCCUGGUUUAGUGAUUUGUGAUGACACCGUGUUUUUUUUUUUAAAUAAAUUUUUUUCUUUAA
Populus nigra (black poplar) is the source of this 724-nucleotide long non-coding RNA. RefSeq lists it as uncharacterized. Lineage: Eukaryota; Viridiplantae; Streptophyta; Magnoliopsida; Malpighiales; Salicaceae. The record is from RefSeq and is a predicted model, not a curated record. The transcript is spliced from 2 exons.